Molecule: ribosomal RNA, 253 nt
Filed under: uncultured bacterium
Lineage: Bacteria
Description: partial 16S ribosomal RNA
Rfam family: Bacterial small subunit ribosomal RNA
Source: RNAcentral
GACGUAGGGGGCUAGCGUUGUCCGGAUUUACUGGGCGUAAAGCGCGUGUAGGCGGCUAUGCAAGUCGGGCGUGAAAUCCCACGGCUCAACCGUGGAAGUGCACUCGAAACUGCGUAGCUAGAGUCUCGGAGAGGAAGGUGGAAUACUUGGUGUAGGGGUGAAAUUCGUAGAUAUCAAGUGGAACACCGGUGGCGAAGGCGGCCUUCUGGACGAUGACUGACGCUGAGACGCGAAAGCGAGGGGAGCAAACAGG